UCUCCGUAGGUGAACCUGCGGAGGGAUCAUUACUGAGUGAGGUUCUCCGGGCCCGACCUCCAACCUUUUUGUGAACCACCUCGUUGCUUCGGGGGCGACCCUGCCGGCACUACGUCGCCGGGCGCCCCCGGAGCCCAUCAAACCCUGCGUAACUAAGUCGUCGGAGUUUAAACAAAUUAAACAAAACUUUCAACAACGGAUCUCUUGGUUCGGGCAUCGAUGAAGAACGCAGC
RNAcentral lists this unclassified non-coding RNA (233 nucleotides) under uncultured fungus. RNAcentral's name for it is "sequence contains ITS1, 5.8S rRNA gene". The stretch from base 185 to 233 matches the Rfam family "5.8S ribosomal RNA", at positions 1 to 49 of the family's 154-position model. The record is from RNAcentral. Lineage: Eukaryota; Fungi.